GUAGGCUGCAACCCGCCUGCAUGAAGUCGGAAUUGCUAGUAAUCGCAGAUCAGCAUGCUGCGGUGAAUACGUUCCCGGGCCUUGUACACACCGCCCGUCACACCAUGGGAGUCGGUAACACCCAAAGUUGGUAGCCUAACCGCAAGGAGGGCGCCGCCUAAGGUGGGAUUGAUGACUGGGGUGAAGUCGUAACAAGGUACC
RNAcentral lists this ribosomal RNA (201 nucleotides) under uncultured bacterium. RNAcentral's name for it is "partial 16S ribosomal RNA". It matches the Rfam family "Bacterial small subunit ribosomal RNA", at positions 1300 to 1500 of the family's 1533-position model. The record is from RNAcentral.